RNAcentral lists this ribosomal RNA (485 nucleotides) under uncultured bacterium. Its description in RNAcentral is "partial 16S ribosomal RNA". It matches the Rfam family "Bacterial small subunit ribosomal RNA", at positions 30 to 506 of the family's 1533-position model. The record is from RNAcentral.
AUUGAACGCUGGCGGCAUGCCUUACACAUGCAAGUCGAACGGCAGCACGGGUGCUUGCCCCUGGUGGCGAGUGGCGAACGGGUGAGUAAUACAUCGGAACAUGUCCUGUAGUGGGGGAUAGCCCGGCGAAAGCCGGAUUAAUACCGCAUACGAUCUACGGAUGAAAGCGGGGGACCUUCGGGCCUCGCGCUAUCGGGUUGGCCGAUGGCUGAUUAGCUAGUUGGUGGGGUAAAGGCCUACCAAGGCGACGAUCAGUAGCUGGUCUGAGAGGACGACCAGCCACACUGGGACUGAGACACGGCCCAGACUCCUACGGGAGGCAGAAGUGGGGAAUUUUGGACAAUGGGCGAAAGCCUGAUCCAGCAAUGCCGCGUGUGUGAAGAAGGCCUUCGGGUUGUAAAGCACUUUUGUCCGGAAAGAAAUCCUUGGCCCUAAUACGGUCGGGGGAUGACGGUACCGGAAGAAUAAGCACCGGCUAACUACGU